GUGGGGUGUUGAUAUUAAUACAACUGUAAAUUAAUUAAUCUAAUUUCAAUAUUUUCAAAUGCAAUUUAUGCUGAAGAGUCUUUAGCACGAACUGUGUGAGUGGCACUAACAAUCUGCGAAAGGGAUGUAUUAAUAUCUCAUAUCGAUUUGAGAUAGGAUAAUGUGCUCUUCAUAAGGCCUCGGACGCUCCUCACCCCUUGAGUUAGCUUUGGAGGUGAGUGAAGUCCAGUCCAUUUUUCUUAAGAUAGUACCAAUGUUUGGGCUUCCCAUAAAUGUUUUAUGCUCCUAGUGUUAAUUCUGGAUGUGAGGGGGAGGGGGUGUGUUAAUAUCCCACAU
This 336-nucleotide unclassified non-coding RNA is filed under the name Hevea brasiliensis (rubber tree). The record is from RNAcentral. Lineage: Eukaryota; Viridiplantae; Streptophyta; Magnoliopsida; Malpighiales; Euphorbiaceae.